Molecule: transfer RNA, 66 nt
Filed under: Sphaeroderma rubidum
Lineage: Eukaryota; Metazoa; Arthropoda; Insecta; Coleoptera; Chrysomelidae
Description: tRNA-Ser
Source: RNAcentral
AGUUAAUGAACUUGUAAAAGUAUAUAUUUUGAAAAUAUAAAAAAGGGCUAUACUCCCUAUUAACUU